This 500-nucleotide ribosomal RNA is filed under the name uncultured bacterium. RNAcentral's name for it is "partial 16S ribosomal RNA". It matches the Rfam family "Bacterial small subunit ribosomal RNA", at positions 30 to 523 of the family's 1533-position model. The record is from RNAcentral.
AUUGAACGCUGGCAGCAGGCCUAACACAUGCAAGUCGAGCGGAUGACGGGAGCUUGCUCCUUGAUUCAGCGGCGGACGGGUGAGUAAUGCCUAGGAAUCUGCCUGGUAGUGGGGGACAACGUUUCGAAAGGAACGCUAAUACCGCAUACGUCCUACGGGAGAAAGCAGGGGACCUUCGGGCCUUGCGCUAUCAGAUGAGCCUAGGUCGGAUUAGCUAGUAGGUGAGGUAAUGGCUCACCUAGGCGACGAUCCGUAACUGGUCUGAGAGGAUGAUCAGUCACACUGGAACUGAGACACGGUCCAGACUCCUACGGGAGGCAGCAGUGGGGAAUAUUGGACAAUGGGCGAAAGCCUGAUCCAGCCAUGCCGCGUGUGUGAAGAAGGUCUUCGGAUUGUAAAGCACUUUAAGUUGGGAGGAAGGGUUGUACGUUAAUACCGUGCAAUUUUGACGCUACCGACAGAAUAAGCACCGGCUAACUCUGUGCCAGCAGCCGCAGUAA